AGAUUAUCUCGAAGGUAGAUCUAUGGGAAUUACUUAUCUGAGCCAAAGUAAUUCAGGUAAUUCAGGUGUAGUGAAAC
This 77-nucleotide microRNA precursor is filed under the name Sus scrofa (pig). RNAcentral's name for it is "mir-1297 microRNA precursor family". It matches the Rfam family "mir-1297 microRNA precursor family". The record is from Rfam by way of RNAcentral. Lineage: Eukaryota; Metazoa; Chordata; Mammalia; Artiodactyla; Suidae.